This 465-nucleotide ribosomal RNA is filed under the name uncultured bacterium. RNAcentral's name for it is "partial 16S ribosomal RNA". It matches the Rfam family "Bacterial small subunit ribosomal RNA", at positions 338 to 795 of the family's 1533-position model. The record is from RNAcentral.
CCUACGGGGGGCAGCAGUGGGGAAUAUUGGGCAAUGGGCGCAAGCCUGACCCAGCAACGCCGCGUGAAGGAAGAAGGGUUUCGGCUCGUAAAGCUCUGUUGGUAGUGAAGAAAGAUAGCGGUAGUAACUGGCCUUUCUUUUACGGUAAUUACUUAGAAAGUCACGGCUAACUCCGUGCCAGCAGCCGCGGUAAUACGUAGGUGGCACGCGUUGUCCGGAUUUAUUGGGCGUAAAGCGAGUGCAGGCGGUGCAAUAAGUCUGAUGUGAAAGCCUUCGGCUCAAGCGGAGAAUUGCAUCAGAAACUGUUGAAGUGGAGUGCAGAAGAGGAGAGUGGAACGCCAUGUGUAGCGGUGGAAUGCGUAGAUAUAUGGAAGAACACCAGUGGCGAAGGCGGCUCUCUGGUCUGCAACUGACGCUGAGGCUCGAAAGCAUGGGUAGCGAACAGGAUUAGAUACCCGUGUAGUC